This is an RNA transcript of Schistocerca serialis cubense, 7058 nucleotides long. It is a transcript of the gene named protein ROP, with no coding region annotated. Lineage: Eukaryota; Metazoa; Arthropoda; Insecta; Orthoptera; Acrididae. The transcript is spliced from 13 exons. The record is from RefSeq and is a predicted model, not a curated record.
CAACAUUUCAGUGUUAAAACUGGAGCCUGCCCUGCUGUAGGUACGGGAAGGGGCGUUUGACGUUUCGAUUCAGUGUAGCAAAAUGGCGCUGAAAGCCGUGGUUGGACAAAAAAUUAUGAAUGAAGUCAUUCGUAACAAGAAAAAGGGACAAGGUAUUGAGUGGCGAGUUCUAGUUGUUGAUCAGCUUGCCAUGAGGAUGGUGUCAGCAUGCUGUAAAAUGCAUGAAAUAUCUGCUGAAGGUAUCACAAUUGUGGAGGAUAUAAAUAAAAAGAGAGAACCUCUGUCUACAAUGGAGGCCGUGUACUUGAUCACACCAAGUGAAAAAUCUGUACACGCAUUAAUGCAGGACUUCGCCAGUCCUAAUCGCACCAUGUAUCGUGCUGCCCAUGUGUAUUUCACUGAAGCAUGCCCAGAGGAGCUGUUUAACAAAUUGUGUCGUGCAACUGUUGCGAAGUUCAUAAAAACUUUGAAGGAAAUUAAUAUUGCAUUUGUAGCAUACGAGGAACAGGUAUUUUCUCUGGAUUCACCUGAUACAUUUCAAUGCUUCUACAAUCCCUCCUGUGCUGGUGGUCGAAAUGCAAACAUGGAACGUAUUGCUGAACAAAUAGCAACCUUGUGUGCUACUCUUGGAGAGUACCCGUCAGUCAGAUAUCGAUGUGAUUUUGACAAGAAUGUUGAAUUAGCCCAACUAGUUCAACAGAAAUUAGAUGCAUAUAAGGCAGAUGAACCUACAAUGGGUGAAGGACCAGAAAAAGCUCGUUCCCAGCUUUUGAUUUUGGAUAGAGGAUUCGACUGUGUCUCACCAUUACUUCAUGAACUAACACUGCAAGCAAUGGCAUAUGAUUUACUACCAAUAGAAAAUGAUGUCUAUAAGUAUGAAGCAACAGCAGGGGCACCAGAAAAAGAGGUGCUGCUGGAUGAAAAUGAUGAAUUGUGGGUUGAGCUCAGACAUCAACACAUUGCUGUUGUUUCACAGAAUGUUACAAAGAAUCUCAAGAAGUUCAUUGAUUCCAAACGAAUGCCACAGGGUGAUAAGCAGUCAAUGAGGGACCUAUCACAGAUGAUAAAGAAGAUGCCACAAUACCAGAAAGAGUUAAGCAAGUACUCAACACAUCUUCACUUGGCUGAAGACUGUAUGAAAGCUUAUCAAGGAUAUGUAGACAAACUGUGCAAAGUAGAACAGGAUCUUGCAAUGGGCACUGAUGCAGAAGGAGAGAGGAUAAAAGAUCACAUGCGAAAUAUAGUGCCUGUGCUUCUUGAUCAAGGUGUGACGAAUUAUGAUAAAAUGCGUAUUAUUCUGCUUUAUAUAAUAUCAAAGAAUGGCAUAAGCGAAGAGAACCUUAACAAACUUGUCCAACAUGCCCAAAUUAAUCCAUCUGAAAAGCAGACCAUUAUUAAUAUGGCCAACUUGGGUGUUAAUGUUGUUGUUGAUGGGACACGCAAGAAAUUCUACCAGGUUCCCCGGAAAGAACGUAUUACUGAACAGACAUACCAAAUGUCACGUUGGACACCAGUCAUCAAGGACAUAAUGGAAGAAUGUAUUGAAGAUAAAUUGGAUCCAAAACAUUUUCCAUUUUUGGCAGGAAGAGCUGCUCCAUCUGGCUACCAUCCACCAACAAGUGCGAGGUAUGGCCAUUGGCAUAAAGAUAAAGGUCAACAAGCUGUAAAGAAUGUUCCUCGUCUAAUUGUCUUCAUUGUUGGUGGUGUGUGCUUCUCAGAAAUACGCUGUGCUUAUGAAGUAACCAACACUGUAAAGAACUGGGAAGUCAUUAUUGGCUCUUCUCACAUUAUGACGCCAGAGGACUUCCUCAGUAAUCUUACGAAUUUGAGCUAAUCUGUUAGCACAGUAUAUCUAGCCUGCCCAAAAAGGUUAGCAUGUGUGUUUCUGCCGAAAUAGGAACUUUAUGUUGAUGGGGUGAAAAGUCACCAGAUCUAUCAAUAUUAUGUGAAAGAUAAAUGUAAUUCCAGUGUUAGGAUUUGUACUCAAGUCUGUAUUGUAGUCAGUUGCCUUAAAACAAGAGCUCUGUAGCUCUUGUUGCAUUUAUCAUAUUAAAGUAUUUUUUAAGAUAGCAUACAAGUUUGUAAAAAAUUCUUGUAAUUCAUAAUUUGUGUGUGUGUGUAAAAUAUUUAGAUAACAUAAUUAUGCCAUAUACAGGCUCAUUAAUGAAAGGAAAGAAAGCUUAUAGAUAUACCAGUAUGAAUUACUUGGAUUGUAAGAUUGCUAGAAAAAAUGCCUUCAAGCAAAAUGUAGGAACUUUCAGACUUAUUUAAGUGUCCUUUUGUGCAGAGGCAGUUAAUGAAUAGUAGAGUUUGUCUUCUGCAAAGCAAAUGUCCCUUUAACCUCUCUGGUCUUUUGGGCAUUCUGACUAUAUUAACUAAAAAGCAGAAUGUGAUGAAACUUCCAUCUUGCUGUCAUUUUAAUGUUUGCAUUCUUAAUAAUGUAAUGUGUUUCUGAAAACACUUUCAAUAAGAUGAUCUGUAUGUUGUUUGAGAACGACAUAGUCAACUUAAAUUGUUCCUUUACCAGAGGACCAAACUGUGUUAAAGAGAGACGUUCAAAAUCUUCCAUUUUCAAUAAACACCAUAGUUUUAAUAAUAGUUUUUCAAAGUUAUACUAUUUAAAGAGUGGAUUCUUUGCACAGCAAUAACUACUUAUAAGACUAAGAGGAUAAGCCUGUGUUGCUUCACUAGUACAAUAAUUGUAAGUAGAUUAUUAUUCAAACAUUUUAAAUUGCAGAUUCAUGUAAAAGCACAUUUUGUAGCUAGAUCUUCAUUUCUGUAUUGAUUAGUUCUGUCUUCAUGAGACUGCAUUUUCCUGAAGUGUCAAAUUUUGUGAGAAGCAAUGUCACAAAUCUUUCUGCCUUAUAUGUAAGCUUGUUAAUUCAUAACUGUUAUUCGAUAUAGUGUUCAGUGAAACUUGGAUGUGCUCCAGAAUCUGUAAAUUAACUGUUUCCAUAAUAGUCUUUAGUGUUGUUGUAAUACCCAUUUUUUGACAUCGAAUAUUUUUAUCUAACUUCUUAAAAAUUUGUCUUACAAGUACAGAGACAUUAUUUUUUAUUAAUAUUUCAUCAUGAUUUAUUUGGACAGUAAAAUAUGUUAAUAACUUUAUAAGCAAUACUGUGAUAGUGUAUGUUUGUGUUGAAAUGUUUGAGUUCGUGGGAAAUAAUAAACGAUGUUAUGCUUCUGCCUGUUUGGGAAUAUGUUGUCAGUCUCAUAUUUUGCAGGCAGACUUAAGUGCUGUAGUUACCUGAUUGACAGUUUAUUAGGCACACAAUUUUAUGUGAAACUUUUGUAAAUCUUCAAUAAGAAAAGGAAUAUGAGAGUUCUUCUUAAACACCAAUAUAUACUAGAGAAUCGGCUAAGCAUCAAGCAGUGGUAUUAUUGCUUGCCAUAUAAUUUAGGCAGUUGCCAUAUAAAUAAAAUUUGUGGAAUACCAUAUUAUGUACUUACAUACACAAGUACUGUAUUUUUAUUGAAACAAAGUGAACAGGUAUGUAAAAUGAGCUCCAGCUGGAAAGCUGGUUAUUGAUCUUUAUUUUUUAAAAAUUCUGGAUUGCUAUUUGGAAGUGCUGUCCCCCAUGUGUGGUUCUUGCACACUGCUAGACAAGAUUGAUUUAACAAACCUUUGUACCGUAUGAAAACUAAGGAGGCCACAUAAAGAAACAUUAAACUAAAAUUUGAGAUAACCUGAAGUAAGUCUGGGAAUUAGUGUUUAAGCUAUCCCUGUAGUCCCCCCCCCCCCCUCCCUCCCUCCAUCACCAGAAAAAAAAGAAAAGGGAAAAAAAAUUACUGCCUAACCUUUCCUUCUUCCCCAUCUGCACUACAGUGUGUGUGUGUGUGAGCGUGCGCAUGCAUGCAUGCAUGCAUGCAUGCAUGCAUGCACAUGCAUUUGAGAUCAUCUGUAAAGAAGUACAGCAUAUUUAAAGUGGGGCAUUGGGUAGUGCCAAGUCAGUAGGCUUUAGUAUGGAAGAAGGAUAUUUAAAUCUAUGACAUUGCUAUAUUUUUAGUGCAUACGGGGAGUAUUCCUUUUAAUUGCAAGUUAUAAUUUAUUUAAAAAGCUGUAUUUGAAAACAUUUGCUUAGAGCUAGUUGAAUAGACAUGUAAUUGACUUUUUCAACAAUAAAGUCCUGUUAAUAACUAUAUAAUUUAUACGUACACAUUCCAGUUAAAAACAUUAAAAACAAAUAUGUAUGUAGUAUAGUUUAAUGAGAAAUUAUUUUCUAAUUAUGGCUGUUUCAUCAAGCACUCUUUUAAGUUGCCAUUAAAUUAUUGGUGGAUGAAAACUUAUUUACUUCAAAAGUUUUUUCAGUAGUGUUAGUUUUAAAUAUAUUUAUUUAUUUUUACAAGUUAGCAGAUAAAUUAAUAAAAGACACAGUUAAAGUGGUUGUUAAAUUUCCAUGUAUUUCACAUCCUGAACCCUCUUUCAUGUUUGUAAUGUCUGGAUGCCUAAAAAUUUCUCAUCUUGGCCAUGUUUCUGACAAAUCUGCCAAUCAUGGGUCUUAAGGGUAUGCCAUGUUCUCACUCAGUUUGUGGUGAGUAUGAAUAUAUGAAGAGGAAGCGUGCACGAGCCACACCUUUUCACUUGAAGGCAAUUUUGGAAGAAAAAGACAUUAUUGUUAUCAAAUGACAUACAUCACAGUAGGAGUUGAAACGUACAGUGCAAUGCUAUCCCAUUAUAUCGUUGUUGUUGUUGAUGUUGUUAUUGUUGCUGCUGCUGUUGUUGUUGUUGGUAAUUUAGACCAAAUCUCCUUAAGUGUUUAACUGAUGUGGCCUGUCAAAGAAGAAACGUUGAUUUUCCUAUUAAUUAAUUAUUUUUGUUAAUGUAUUGAAUAGAUUUUGCAAAAGAAAUGAAACGUUAUAAAACUGACCCAGCAUAAUUUUCUCAGACAUUUUGUUGCCUUGUGUUGUUAGUGCAAUAGUAAUGUUACAAUGUAUGUAUUUUCCUUAAUGUAUUAUAAAGCAUUGUAGGCUAUAGAUAAUAUAGUAAUGUUGACAUAUUGAUAUAUAUAGCUUCUUCAGAUAGAGCAAAUUCAUAUUUUCAUAUUUGCUUUCAUGUGACCAAACACACACUUCUCAUUAUCAUGAGAGUUUUAAUGUAAACUAACAAUUGUUAAUGUGUAAGAAAUACAUUGAAACUUAGAAAUACGGGUCAUUUGGAACUAGUGAGCACAUAGUGUAAAUUCAAUAAAUUUUUAAUGCAUUUUUACAACAUUUUCUUGUACUGUUGCUGUGUUCGAUUUUUACAUAAAUAUUGCCUAGUACAAAUUUGAUUUCAAAAAAGUGUCUUAAGAUUUUAAAAGAUUGGAAAGGUGGAAGACAUGAUCAGUUUCAUUUUUACAUAGUUAUGAAUGUCAUUUUUGUCUUUUUCUAUCUAAUACAUUUCAUUGAUGCUGUUUUGUUGAAUGCAGCCUUUGUAAGUGAUGCAAAGGAUUCCUUACCUAACACACUUGAUUUUUCUGCAUGUAACAGCAUUCAUCUUCUUCUCUCCCAAAAAUGCAGUCAUCUCUUUUCAGCAAGAUAGUGUUCUUGAGUGCCUCACUUGUAAGGCUGAAAGUCAAAGAUUUACAAAAUUAAUGGUAGAAAAAAAGUUUCAUAGGUAUAUGUGAUUCAGUACAUUUGUCCAGUUUUAGUUCUCUCUCUCUCUGUCUCUCUGUCUCUCUGUCUGUGUGUGUGUGUGUGUGUGUGUGUGUGUGUGUGUGUGUGUGUCGUAAUGUUGAAUGUUUCCUGUAGUUUAUCUCUCGUCUCUCUUAAAUCUUGAAAUAUUUCAGCUAAAAAUUUUAGAUAAUUGUACUGAUAAGUGUAUUAAAGCUUCUAAAAUAUUGGAACUUCUUAAUUAGGAAGGUACUGAAAUUGACUCUAAAUAUUGUUGAGGUCAAUAACAAUGUGCUAAAAAUCCAUGAAACUAAAAUGGUUUCAUCUCACAGGUGGAAAGACAGAGCAAGAAAAAAGUUUUCCUUUUUCUUACUUGCUUAACUCUUUCCUUCCUUUCUUACUUCCUCCUUGCUUAUUCUUCAGAUUCAUCAAAUGGCCAAUGCUCAUUUGAGCAGUAAUGUGUGAUGACAGAAUUGACACUUUUAUCAUCAUGAUGUACUAAAUCAAAUGUUGUGAUAUUGCUGUGUAAAAGAAAUUUAAGGAUUAAGGCCACCUGUGUGUUAAUAUUACUGUUGUUAUUGUUAUUAUUUUUAUUAGUAAUAUUGAGAUGGACAAAUGUAAAAAGAAAAUAAGUACUCAGAGUUCUGUGUACUGUAACUGUGCAUUUAGUUUAAAAAAGGACCAUUAGAAUUGUGUUUCCAGCUUUCCCCCCCCCCCCCCCCCUCCCCGCCCCUCCCUCCUCCCUUCCCUCCCUUUACAGUUACACAAAUGUAAUGUAUCUUGCUAUUUUGUUCCUGAAAAAGUUCUGUCAUUGAAAAUACCAGCAUUUAAACUGUCAUUUUUAAACUAAUGACAGAAUCUUUCUAGUGUUCUGAAACAUAUUGUUUAUAUGUGAAACAAUAUUUUUAGGAUGAAAGGAUGUUGUCCAUUUUUUAUCUUGUAGUGUUACAGUUGUUCUGCGACAGUGAAAAGUAAUAUAAGUGCCUGAAAUUUGAUUUUGUAAUAGGGGAAAUUACAUACCACAUUGCCCUUUGACCCAGAAAAGUUGCUGUACAUCUUACCACCUUAGGAUGCUUUCCUAUUUCUCAUUUUCGACAAAGCACCUUCGUUGAAGCAAGUCACUUAAUUCCAUUGUAAUAGUACCAGUAGCUAUACUAGUAAUGAUAGUUAAUGCACAUUAAGAAAGAAAGUAUGGCAAAUUAAAAUAUCCUUCAGAAAUGCCACUAAACUUGUAUAAUUAAAACAUUAUCAGAUAAACAUAAUUUAUGAUGCCCGUAAAUAAAUCACCUUCUGCUUAGUAUGUUGACAAUGUUUGUUGAGGAUAAAUAGUAUAAUUAUAUAACAGCAGUUUAGAAACACUAUAGAAUGUAACUUCAGUCUCUAGUCACAUAAUUGCAGUUUAUGAUGGCAUAAUAAACUUGUUUCCUGUUCCUUUGAUAUUAACUGAAUAAAUUAAUUUUGCCAGA